ACGCUCGACACCUACGGAGGCAGCAGUCGGGAAUAUUGCGCAAUGGAGGAAACUCUGACGCAGUGACGCCGCGUAUAGGAAGAAGGUUUUCGGAUUGUAAACUAUUGUCGUUAGGGAAGAGAAAGGACAGUACCUAAGGAGGAAGCUCCGGCUAACUACGUGCCUGCAGCCGCGGUAAUCUGAGCGGGCUGGCAAGGC
This 198-nucleotide ribosomal RNA is filed under the name uncultured bacterium. RNAcentral describes it as "partial 16S ribosomal RNA". It matches the Rfam family "Bacterial small subunit ribosomal RNA", at positions 328 to 539 of the family's 1533-position model. The record is from RNAcentral.